Molecule: transfer RNA, 84 nt
Filed under: Clostridiales bacterium
Lineage: Bacteria; Bacillati; Bacillota; Clostridia; Eubacteriales
Description: tRNA-Leu
Rfam family: tRNA
About the family: Transfer RNA (tRNA) molecules are approximately 80 nucleotides in length. Their secondary structure includes four short double-helical elements and three loops (D, anti-codon, and T loops).
Source: RNAcentral
GCGGACGUGGCGGAAUGGCAGACGCGCUAGACUUAGGAUCUAGUGCCUUACGGCGUGGGAGUUCAAGUCUCUUCGUCCGCACCA